Molecule: ribosomal RNA, 465 nt
Filed under: uncultured bacterium
Lineage: Bacteria
Description: partial 16S ribosomal RNA
Rfam family: Bacterial small subunit ribosomal RNA
Source: RNAcentral
GACGAACGCUGGCGGCGUGCUUAACACAUGCAAGUCGAACGGAAAGGCCCUGCUUGCAGGGUACUCGAGUGGCGAACGGGUGAGUAACACGUGGGUGAUCUGCCCUGCACUUCGGGAUAAGCCUGGGAAACUGGGUCUAAUACCGGAUAGGUGCCAUUUUUAGUGUGAUGGUUGGAAAGUUUUUUCGGUGUAGGAUGAGCUCGCGGCCUAUCAGCUUGUUGGUGGGGUAAUGGCCUACCAAGGCGGCGACGGGUAGCCGGCCUGAGAGGGUGGACGGCCACAUUGGGACUGAGAUACGGCCCAGACUCCUACGGGAGGCAGCAGUGGGGAAUAUUGCACAAGGGGCGCAAGCCUGAUGCAGCGACGCCGCGUGGGGGAUGACGGCCUUCGGGUUGUAAACUCCUUUCGCUAGGGACGAAGCUUUUUGUGACGGUACCUAGAUAAGAAGCACCGGCUAACUACGUG